RNAcentral lists this long non-coding RNA (541 nucleotides) under Salvia miltiorrhiza (redroot sage). RNAcentral's name for it is "long non-coding RNA (SMIL_LNC013656)". Lineage: Eukaryota; Viridiplantae; Streptophyta; Magnoliopsida; Lamiales; Lamiaceae. The record is from RNAcentral.
UUUCCGCGGGAUAUAUUCCUACACACUAAAGUAGUGAUGUAUAGUAAGUCAAGCAUAUAUGUGUAUAUUUUUCUAUAUCUCUCUAUCUCUCUCACUCUCUCUCAAUCUCUCUCAAUCUCUCUCACUCUCUCUCAAUCUCUCUCACUCUCUCUCAAUCUCUCUCACUCUCUCUCACUCUCUCUCACUCUCUCUCAAUCUCUCUCACUCUCUCUCACUCUCUCUCACUCUCUCUCACUCUCGACUCUCUCUCACUUUCUCUCACUCUCUUUUUUUUUUUUUCUCCCUCACUCUCUCUCACUCUCGGUCUCUCCCUCCCCUCACGCACACUCCUCUCUCUCCCUCAUUACUUCAUUCCUUCACCAUCAAUGUAACACACAUGCAAGCAUUUAAAACCUAACCUAAUAGCUAACCUAGUUAGCCAACAAAAUCCCCACCUUUAAGCUCCCACAUCCCUCUCUCAUAUCUCCCUCUCUCGGUCCUCUCUCCUCCCUCCUCCUCUCUUCUCCUUCUCUAUUCAUUCCAUAGGAUGACAUAUCCACCA